CGCAUAAUCAAUGACAGUAGCCCCCUUUGGGAGAUGUUUUAUCUCUCCUCCAGGUGUAAACACAAAGACACGACUGCCCAACAGAUCUCUGGUAAUAGUGUCCACAAAUUCCCUAGAACUCAUGUUUCCAACGAACUCUUCUUGCCACUCCCUAAUUGCAUUCAGCCAGCCAAUCCUGAGAGCAAUAUUGGCAUUGUUAAGGCAGACUAUUUUCCCUCCAGAAUUUUUAUCAUUGGUUAUAACAUGCCCAACUAAACCAUUUACAAAACCUUUCCCACUAUAAUGUGCAGCAAUGCCUCUUUCAGCUAUGAGGUCCAUCUCUUCAGUUCUUAUCUGAACCUCCAAACGAAACAUGCUCUUCAUACAACUGUGAUUCCAUUUCUUUA
Molecule: unclassified non-coding RNA, 386 nt
Filed under: Hevea brasiliensis (rubber tree)
Lineage: Eukaryota; Viridiplantae; Streptophyta; Magnoliopsida; Malpighiales; Euphorbiaceae
Source: RNAcentral